GACAGAGGGUGCAAGCGUUGUUCGGAAUUACUGGGCGUAAAGGGCGUGUAGGCGGUAGGGUGUGUCUGACGUGAAAGCCCUCGGCUCAACCGAGGAAAUGCGUCGGAAACUACCUUGCUGGAGUGCGAGAGAGGGUGGCGGAAUUCCUGGUGUAGAGGUGAAAUUCGUAGAUACCAGGAGGAACACCAGAGGCGAAGGCGGCCACCUGGCUCGUAACUGACGCUGAGACGCGAAAGCGUGGGGAGCAAACAGG
RNAcentral lists this ribosomal RNA (253 nucleotides) under uncultured bacterium. RNAcentral's name for it is "partial 16S ribosomal RNA". It matches the Rfam family "Bacterial small subunit ribosomal RNA", at positions 524 to 776 of the family's 1533-position model. The record is from RNAcentral.